Molecule: ribosomal RNA, 522 nt
Filed under: uncultured bacterium
Lineage: Bacteria
Description: bacterial SSU rRNA
Rfam family: Bacterial small subunit ribosomal RNA
Source: RNAcentral
AACACAUGCAAGUCGAACGGCAGCACAGAGGAGCUUGCUCCUUGGGUGGCGAGUGGCGGACGGGUGAGGAAUACGUCGGAAUCUGCCUAUUUGUGGGGGAUAACGUAGGGAAACUUACGCUAAUACCGCAUACGACCUACGGGUGAAAGUGGGGGACCGCAAGGCCUCACGCAGAUAGAUGAGCCGACGUCGGAUUAGCUAGUUGGCGGGGUAAAGGCCCACCAAGGCGACGAUCCGUAGCUGGUCUGAGAGGAUGAUCAGCCACACUGGAACUGAGACACGGUCCAGACUCCUACGGGAGGCAGCAGUGGGGAAUAUUGGACAAUGGGCGCAAGCCUGAUCCAGCCAUGCCGCGUGUGUGAAGAAGGCCUUCGGGUUGUAAAGCACUUUUGUCCGGAAAGAAAAGCUUAGGGUUAAUAACCCUGAGUCAUGACGGUACCGGAAGAAUAAGCACCGGCUAACCUCGUGCCAGCAGCCGCGGUAAUACGAAGGGUGCAAGCGUUACUCGGAAUUACUGGGCGU